CCCUCCCCCCGCCACCAAGUUUUGGCAAGUCCAGCCCAACUGACAGACUUUCUGUCACACUUCCCUACAGCUACUUAAACCACACUUUACUGUGUAAUGGAAUACCUUCCAUUUGGGGAAAAGGAUGGGGCUCCCCCAGGCGGGACUCAACAUGAUGACAGUUCCUAAGGUUCACAGACCUCUGCUGGUCCCCAGACACCCCUCUCUUUGCGAGUAAGACAGUGAUGCUCAAACCACCACCCAGGUUCUCUUGCUUAUUUCAAAUAAGUCAGCUGCCAUGUUGUUUGCUGCCCUGUGGAGAGUCUCACACAGCAAGGAACUGAGGGAAGCUACCAGCCAACAGCCAGUGAGAAACUAAAGUCUUCAGUCCUCAGUCCCAUAGCCCAUAGCCCAUAAGGAAUUGACUUCUAUGAACAACCAUGUAAAUGAACUUGGAAGCAGAUCCCUCCCCAGUCAAGCCUUCCAAUGAGAUUGCAGCCCCAGAUGAUACCUUGAUUGCAACCAUGUGAGAGGAAAGCACACUAGAAGAUGGUUGGAUGAAUGUAUGAUGGGCAAAUUCAUAGUGUCUACCACACCUUCCAUGAAGGUGGCUUGGAUGGAACUCCAUCCUCCCUCCCAGAAAUUCCACGGGCUCAACCCAGCUAGUCCAUCCCCAUGAUCCCUUUUCAUCUAGGCCCAGCCUAACUGUGUCAGGGAAGAAGGACCCUCCCUAUCCCACCCACUGUAAAAAGUGUCUUAUUUUAGUCAAACAUGGCUUUGCUGUCUGGGUAGAAGCAUUGUUCAGGAAUUCUCACUCUGCCUGUCCCUGAAAUGCCAAGGUCAAGCUGGUAGGCUUGAGAUCAUUGUUACAUAUGUCCCCAACUAUUCUUACCAAAAUUUUUGCCUUCAUACCGUAGGUCCUAAUUAGAAGGGCCUCAAAAGAGCUCCCAAACAGAGGGGACUUGGCUUAUUGUCACUCAGAGAAUCCCCCUCAAUGUCAAUCCACCCUGGAGAAUCUCAGUUGUUGGUCCUCUCCAGGUCUGUCCUCCUAGUAUCCUACUGAUGGUAUGAUGUGGGGAGGGCAGUGUCUUUGAAAUAGAAAUAGGAUAUUUCAAUUAGUAUUUCUAUUACCCUAAGAUGUCCUUGAUCUCUGUGGAUGAAAGAAGGAGCUCAGUAAUAACUGUUUCUUACCCACCACUUCUGACUCAGCCCUGAGACUGAGAGUUGGUUAUAACUCAGAGCACGGCCUCCGGAGCUUAUAGUAUCAUGGGAGAAGACAAAGAAAUAAGCACUCACACAACCUCAUGGUGAGUGUGCUGAGAGAAUAAUACCCAGGGUUUUUGGGGAACUGGGGAGAAAGCCCAAUUCUUUCCCAAGGGCAGGGGAGGCUUUGGAGAGGGUAAGAAAGUGUUGGGUCCCCUGAAAGAAGAGAAGACAUUCCAGACAGAGGAAAUGACAUGCACAUGGUCACUUAGGUGUGAGAGAGUGUGGUGCACUCGGGGAACCACAUGCUAUUUGGUAGAGAUGGCACUCCAGUGAGGGAGGGAGACAGGAACCGCUGAAGGACUUUUAUUUUAACUGGCAUGGAAAGAGGUCCAAGAUGGGUUAUCAAAUGAAUAAAGCAACUCACGUGAGAGUG
Suricata suricatta (meerkat) is the source of this 1618-nucleotide long non-coding RNA. RefSeq lists it as uncharacterized. The record is from RefSeq and is a predicted model, not a curated record. NCBI's taxonomy places the organism in Eukaryota, Metazoa, Chordata, Mammalia, Carnivora, Herpestidae. The transcript has 3 exons.